AGAAGGAAGCACAGAUCCAGAUUCCUGAAUUCAGAAAGACAAGGCUGGAUCCAGAGCUGUAACUUACUGUUGUAUCUGGGACAACUCAAUCUCCAGGGAAGAAAAGAUAACAUUGUGUUGGAAAGGUGCAUCCUCUGUGUGCAAGGACCUUUAUCCAAGGUAUCAAGGAGGUACAGGAAAAUAGAGAAGAAACAGUCCUUUGCUCUGUACCUCAAGGCAAACAAUCUAGUUGGAAGUGAGGAGGUAUUCUAAGGCCCGUGCAACCCAGAGGGUUGGACUGUAUCACUUACCGCAAGCAAGGCAGGCAGUCUAAGUUCUCAAUUCGUUGGAUCUCGUUCUAUAAUAAGAAACAUGAAGGUGAGAAAUAAAAAAACAAAACAAAACCUAGAAUAAUUUUCUCCUCUCCUCUAAUUCAAAUAUCUGGAGGAAAUCUUGCAACUCUGG
Long non-coding RNA from Antechinus flavipes (yellow-footed antechinus), 444 nucleotides. RefSeq lists it as uncharacterized. The transcript has 3 exons. The record is from RefSeq and is a predicted model, not a curated record. Lineage: Eukaryota; Metazoa; Chordata; Mammalia; Dasyuromorphia; Dasyuridae.